GGGGAUGUUUUAAUUCGCUAACUCGCUUUUAAGUUAAAACGGCUAAGGGAAGUUGUCGGAACUUCCAAAAAUCCAGCUUAGCUGGAUAAAAACCGGCAACUUGGAUAAAUGCCAAGAACUUAUUGGCUAAAGUGAAGGGCUUUUUUGCCCCCAACUUGGCCUUUGCCGUAGCGUAAAAACCUAUAGCCAUCCAAACCAGCGACGCCUGAUAGCUGGUAAGGGUGUCAACCUUUCGGGCUAGCCAGUCAAGGGCACCCCUCUUUAACUGGCAAAACAAUUGGGGCUUAAGGUUGGUUAUUUUUGUUCUUUUCUAAUAAUCAGCCGGAUCAAACAAAAGGACUAUCUUAGUAGAUGUUUUAACUUUCAGCAGUUACACGUGGGUGCAAGACCCACCAUCUCCACCA
RNAcentral lists this transfer-messenger RNA (404 nucleotides) under Patescibacteria group. RNAcentral describes it as "2-01-FULL-45-10-B sp001818835 Standard tmRNA". It matches the Rfam family "transfer-messenger RNA". From Rfam's summary of the family: Bacterial tmRNA, also known as 10Sa RNA or SsrA, is named for its dual tRNA and mRNA-like properties. The record is from RNAcentral. RNAcentral also lists the same sequence under 1 other name.